GUAGUCCACGCCCUAAACGAUGUCUACUAGUUGUCGGAGGGUAACUCCUUCGGUAACGCAGCUAACGCGUGAAGUAGACCGCCUGGGGAGUACGGUCGCAAGAUUAAAACUCAAAGGAAUUGACGGGGACCCGCACAAGCGGUGGAUGAUGUGGAUUAAUUCGAUGCAACGCGAAAAACCUUACCUACCCUUGACAUGCCACUAACGAAGCAGAGAUGCAUUAGGUGCCCGAAAGGGAAAGUGGACACAGGUGCUGCAUGGCUGUCGUCAGCUCGUGUCGUGAGAUGUUGGGUUAAGUCCCGCAACGAGCGCAACCCUUGCCAAUAGUUGCUACGAAAGAGCACUCUAUUGGGACUGCCGGUGACAAACCGGA
Molecule: ribosomal RNA, 373 nt
Filed under: uncultured bacterium
Lineage: Bacteria
Description: bacterial SSU rRNA
Rfam family: Bacterial small subunit ribosomal RNA
Source: RNAcentral